RNAcentral lists this ribosomal RNA (252 nucleotides) under uncultured bacterium. RNAcentral describes it as "partial 16S ribosomal RNA". It matches the Rfam family "Bacterial small subunit ribosomal RNA", at positions 524 to 776 of the family's 1533-position model. The record is from RNAcentral.
UACGGAGGAUGCGAGCGUUAUCCGGAUUUAUUGGGUUUAAAGGGUGCGUAGGCGGACUGUCAAGUCAGCGGUAAAAUUGAGAGGCUCAACCUCUUCCCGCCGUUGAAACUGGUGGUCUUGAGUGGAUGAGAAGUACGCGGAAUGCGCGGUGUAGCGGUGAAAUGCAUAGAUAUCACGCAGAACUCCGAUUGCGAAGGCAGCGUACCAGCAUCCAACUGACGCUGAGGCACGAAAGCGUGGGGAUCAAACAGG